Molecule: ribosomal RNA, 253 nt
Filed under: uncultured bacterium
Lineage: Bacteria
Description: partial 16S ribosomal RNA
Rfam family: Bacterial small subunit ribosomal RNA
Source: RNAcentral
UACAGAGGAUGCAAGCGUUGUUCGGAAUUAUUGGGCGUAAAGGGUGCGUAGGCGGUUUGGUAAGUCUGAUGUGAAAUCUAUGGGCUCAACUCAUAGUCUGCAUCGGAAACUGCCGGGCUUGAGUGUGGGAGAGGUGAGUGGAAUUCCUGGUGUAGCGGUGAAAUGCGUAGAUAUCAGGAGGAACACCUGUGGCGAAAGCGGCUCACUGGACCAUAACUGACGCUGAUGCACGAAAGCUAGGGGAGCAAACAGG